GGUUCGAUCCUGGCUCAGAUUGAACGCUGGCGGGAUGCUUUACACAUGCAAGUCGAACGGCAGCACGGACUUCGGUCUGGUGGCGAGUGGCGAACGGGUGAGUAAUGUAUCGGAACGUGCCUAGUAGCGGGGGAUAACUACGCGAAAGCGUAGCUAAUACCGCAUACGCCCUUCGGGGAAAGCGGGGGACCUUCGGGCCUCGCACUAUUAGAGCGGCCGAUAUCGGAUUAGCUAGUUGGUGGGGUAACGGCUCACCAAGGCGACGAUCCGUAGCGCUGGUUUGAGAGGACGACCAGCCACACUGGGACUGAGACACGGCCCAGACUCCUACCGGGAGGCGGCAGUGGGGAAUUUUGGACAAUGGAAACCCUGAUCCAGCCAUCCCGCGUGUGCGAUGAAGGCCUUCGGGUUGUAAAGCACUUUUGGCAGGAAAGAACGGCGCGGAUAAUACCCGUGCAACGGCGAGCCUGCAGAAUAAGCACCGGCUAACUACGUGCCAGCAGCCGCGGUAAUACGUAGGGUGCAAGCGUUAAUCGGAAUUACUGGGCGUAAAGCGUGUGCGCAGGCAGUUCGGAAAAGAAAGAUGUGAAAUCCCAGGCUUAACUUUGGAACUGCAUUUUUAACUACCGAGCUAGAGUGUGUCAGAGAGGAGGUGGAAUUCCGCGUGUAGCAGUGAAAUGCGUAGAUAUGCGGAGGAACACCAAUGGCAGAGGCAGCCUCCUGGGAUAACACUGACGCUCAUGCACGAAAGCGUGGGGAGCAAACAGGAUUAGAUACCCUGGUAGUCCACGCCCUAAACGAUGUCAACUAGCUGUUGGGGCCUUCGGGCCUUGGUAGCGCAACUAACGCGUGAAGUUGACCGCCUGGGGAAGUACGGUCGCAAGAUUAAAACUCAAAGGAAUUGACGGGGACCCGCACAAGCGGUGGAUGAUGUGGAUUAAUUCGAUGCAGCGCGAAAAACCUUGCCUACCCUUGACAUGUCUGGAAUCCCGAAGAGAUUUGGGGAGUGCUCGCAAGAGAACCGGAACACAGGUGCUGCAUGGCUGUCGUCAGCUCGUGUCGUGAGAUGUUGGGUUAAGUCCCGCAACGAAGCGCAACCCUUGUCAUUAGUUGCUACGAAGGGCACUCUGUGGGACUGCCGGUGACAAACCGGAGGAAGGUGGGGAUGACGUCAAGUCUGUGGCCCUGUGGGUAGGGCUUCACACGUCAUACAAUGGUCGGGACGGAAGUUGUCCAACCCGCGAGGAGGUAAUCGGGGCGAUCGUAGUCGGAUCGCAGUCUGCAACUCGACUGCGUGAAGUCGGAAUCGCUAGUAAUCGCGGAUCAGCAUGUCGCGGUGGAACGUUCCAGGUCUUGUACACACCGCCCGUCACACCAUGGGAGUGGGUUUUACCAGAAGUAGUUAGCCUAACCAUGGAGGGCGAUUACCACAGUAGGAUUCAUGACUGGGGUGAAGUCGUAACAAGGUAA
Molecule: ribosomal RNA, 1470 nt
Filed under: uncultured Bordetella sp.
Lineage: Bacteria; Pseudomonadati; Pseudomonadota; Betaproteobacteria; Burkholderiales; Alcaligenaceae
Description: partial 16S-23S ribosomal RNA intergenic spacer
Rfam family: Bacterial small subunit ribosomal RNA
Source: RNAcentral